GCGACACUUGCCGCCCGUGCCCUGCGGCCCUGCACGCCCCACCCGCGGUCGCGCGCCGCGCUCCCCGCCGCCUCACCUUUUCGCCUGGCAUCCGGGCCCGCUACUCGCCCACUGGGAGCGCCGUGGCGCCUGGUGUUCGGCGCGAGCCCGGCGGGGCUGCAGGUUCCGCCCUGCUCCGCCGCGCCCCGCCCGGGCUGGGGUAAAGGCCGCGGCCGGGCCAUGCAGUGUCCUCCUCAGGGAGGGCAGGAGAGCCUGAGGAGUGGCGGGGCCGCCAGAGAGCGAAAUGUCAUCAGUGCAGUCACAACAGGAGCAGUUGUCCCAGUCAGAUCCAUCUCCGUCACCAAACUCAUGUAGUUCCUUUGAGCUAAUAGACAUGGAUGCUGGCAGCUUGUAUGAACCAGUUUCUCCCCAUUGGUUUUAUUGUAAGAUAAUAGAUUCUAAGGAGACAUGGAUUCCUUUCAACUCUGAGGAUUCACAGCAGCUGGAAGAGGCAUAUAGCUCUGGAAAAGGUUGUAAUGGGAGAGUUGUUCCUACUGAUGGGGGCAGAUAUGAUGUUCAUUUGGGGGAGAGGAUGCGGUAUGCUGUAUACUGGGAUGAACUGGCAUCGGAAGUGAGACGAUGUACGUGGUUUUACAAGGGGGACAAAGACAAUAAGUAUGUUCCCUACUCGGAGAGCUUCAGCCAAGUUUUAGAGGAAACUUACAUGCUUGCUGUAACUUUGGAUGAAUGGAAAAAGAAACUGGAAUCUCCCAACAGAGAAAUUAUUAUUUUACACAAUCCAAAGCUUAUGGUGCAUUACCAGCCAGUUGCAGGGUCUGAUGAUUGGGGUUCAACACCCACGGAGCAGGGUCGACCAAGAACUGUGAAGAGAGGAGUUGAGAACAUCUCUGUUGACAUUCAUUGUGGAGAACCUUUACAAAUAGAUCACUUGGUUUUUGUAGUCCAUGGGAUUGGACCAGCUUGUGAUCUCCGCUUUCGAAGCAUUGUACAGUGUGUUAAUGAUUUUCGCAGUGUUUCCUUGAACUUGCUACAGACACAUUUUAAGAAAGCCCAAGAAAAUCAGCAGAUUGGGAGGGUAGAAUUUCUUCCAGUCAACUGGCACAGUCCUUUGCAUUCUACUGGUGUGGAUGUAGAUCUGCAGCGAAUAACCCUGCCCAGCAUUAACCGCCUCAGGCACUUCACCAAUGACACAAUUCUGGAUGUCUUCUUCUACAAUAGUCCCACCUACUGUCAGACUAUUGUGGACACAGUUGCUUCUGAAAUGAACCGAAUAUACACACUUUUUCUACAGAGGAACCCUGAUUUCAAAGGGGGUGUAUCCAUUGCUGGUCAUAGUUUAGGUUCGCUUAUAUUGUUUGAUAUCCUAACAAAUCAGAAAGAUUCUUUGGGGGAUAUUGACAGUGAAAAGGAUUCGCUAAAUAUUGUAAUGGAUCAAGGAGAUACACCUACACUAGAGGAAGAUUUGAAGAAACUUCAGCUCUCUGAAUUCUUUGAUAUCUUUGAGAAGGAGAAAGUAGAUAAGGAAGCUCUGGCUUUAUGUACAGACCGAGAUCUUCAGGAAAUAGGAAUUCCUUUAGGACCAAGAAAGAAGAUAUUAAACUAUUUCAGCACCAGAAAAAACUCAAUGGGUAUUAAGAGACCAGCCCCGCAGCCUGCUUCAGGGGCAAACAUCCCCAAAGAAUCUGAGUUCUGCAGUAGCAGUAAUACUAGAAAUGGUGACUAUCUGGAUGUUGGCAUUGGGCAGGUGUCUGUGAAAUACCCCCGGCUCAUCUAUAAACCAGAGAUAUUCUUUGCCUUUGGAUCUCCCAUUGGAAUGUUCCUUACUGUCCGAGGACUAAAAAGAAUUGAUCCCAACUACAGAUUUCCAACGUGCAAAGGUUUCUUCAAUAUUUAUCACCCUUUUGAUCCUGUGGCCUAUAGGAUUGAACCAAUGGUGGUCCCAGGAGUGGAAUUUGAGCCAAUGCUGAUCCCACAUCAUAAAGGCAGGAAGCGGAUGCACUUAGAACUGAGAGAGGGCUUGACCAGGAUGAGUAUGGACCUUAAGAACAACUUGCUAGGUUCGCUGCGGAUGGCCUGGAAGUCUUUUACCAGAGCUCCAUACCCUGCCUUACAAGCUUCAGAAACACCAGAAGAAACUGAAGCAGAACCUGAAUCAACUUCAGAGAAGCCUAGUGAUGUUAACACAGAAGAGACCUCUGUGGCAGUUAAAGAAGAAGUCCUGCCUAUCAAUGUGGGGAUGCUGAAUGGAGGCCAACGCAUUGACUAUGUGCUACAGGAGAAGCCUAUUGAAAGUUUUAAUGAGUAUUUAUUUGCUUUACAAAGCCAUCUAUGCUACUGGGAGUCUGAAGAUACAGUAUUGCUCGUCCUCAAAGAGAUCUACCAAACCCAGGGUAUCUUCCUUGAUCAGCCUUUACAGUAAAAAUGACCCAUCUAUGGCUGCUUAAUGUAUCCAUAAUCCACAAAGCAUAUUUAAAAGGCUCUUGGCACGGGCAGCAUUGGUUGAGCAGGGCAAACAGCAAAUGACACUGCAGCUUCAGGAGGUGCUCAAGAGGACACUGACCGACUGCUGUGGCCGUUGGUGGGAAAUGCUGUUCAGGCAGAAAAGAGCCCAGGUGUCACCUGGAGGACUGAGGUAUGGGGAAGGGAGUAAGCGUUGAAUGACAAAAGAAAAAUCAGAGUGAAGAUAAAGGAGAAAAGAAUGAGAAAGACGUGUGGUGGACACCAUUAACCUCUCUGUUCUGGUGGGUAAGGGCUGAGGCAGAUGCUGGGGUGGUUAGCUGUUGUCACUUACCUCCCUACGAUCAGUUUUAUUGUGUUGGUAAAGACGCCAUUCAGAGCCAGGGCAAGGCUGGCAGCUGCAAAGCAAAGCCAUUAGUUGAAAGGAUCUGUCUAGGAGGAAAGGUAUGGUCAUGGCCUCGUUAUGAGAGCAGCCGUGCUGUUUCUGAGAUGGAUAGAAUCCAACCAGGCCUGGGCACAAAAAUAAUUAGGGUCCUCAGUGAUCACUCUUUUGUAGCCGAGAACUUUUGUACUAGGCCAAAGACAUUUCUGAGGUACAAAUAACCCAGUGCAUUUAGGCACAGGGCUGCCUGCCGUGUAGCCUGCGUAACCAAGUCCCUGCAGUGCUAUUUUCCUCUCCCGCGGGGAUAGAGUUCCUUUAGGAAUGCAGAACUCAGUGGCCUCCACACAGGCUCACCGUGGCUGAAUCCCACAACGACCUCCUAGGUUCCCAGCACGAAGAAACCGGCCCGAAAGGGCUAGCGCUCACCCAGGCAGGCUUGUCUGCUGUCUCUUGUGUCUGCCUUCUUGAGAAAUUUGGCCAGGAAGAUCAGAGACAGUGGAGAGAGAAAUGCAAUAACCUGAAUCAGAAUGUCAGAGGUUAAAAACAAUCCAAAAAAAAGCCACACUCGUGCUCCUACAGGAAAGAGGGAUGUGACACAGCAGGACUCACUGGAGCUAACAUAAGGUCUCUGAGUGCGCGUAACCGGGCGCCAGGCAGCGCCACCAGUGAACAGCAGCGCCCGUGCGGCUCGGGCCCCGGUACCUCAGGCUGAGGCACAGAGCGCCCGGGAAAACGUUGUCUCAGCCCAAAGAGGCUCGGACACCCUCCUCUCUCAAUCAGGAUCUUAAACACUCGAGCCCUAGGAGGCGGAACCCAGCGCACAGCAGCGGAGUGGGCAGUGGGUCCCUACAAAGGCCGUCUCGGGGUGGAAAACGCACAGGUGCCCGCGGGAAGCCGGGUCAUGGGGAGGGAGGAAAGACGAUCUUUCUCCACGCACAAACAUCGGCUUGGUGGGGAAAUACUCCGCCUCCACGUAGGGGUUCCGGUAGAGCCACAUCUCCUCCGGCUGGAUGAGUCUCUGGAACGGGGGGAGCAGCUCCGUCACCCUAGAGGGGAACAAAGAAGCGCAGAGCAGGUCGCCUGGCUUCCUCCCCGCUUCCCCACUGCCCGACCCGCCGCCCCGUGCCGCCCGCCUGCCUGGGAAGCGGGGCCGCCCGGGCCCGGCCGUGGAUCUUUCUUACAGGAAGGCCGCGAACAGCGCGAGCCGCACGCCCACUUCGGCCCCAAAGGCCACCGCCGCCGCCGCCUUCCCCAUCCGGCCGCGAGCUCCGAGCGACGCUGCGCUGACGUGGCCACCUCCGCGGGGAGGGCCGGGCCGGGAACUGGGCACCGCCCCCUCUCCCAGUUGCCCGCGCUCCGGCGGCUCCCCAGGAAGACGGCCUGGCGGCUGUGCCGAGGGCAUCGUCUGGCAAAGGGUACGCAAAGCCAGCGGAGCUGCCCUCUGGUGCGUUCAGCAGGGAGCCAGCGCCCCAGUUCCAGCCGAGUAGGUCGGCGUACGGUCCAUCAUCAGCAGCUCGUCUCCACGGCCCAACCACACCACCGCGGGGAGCAGCCUUCUCCCGGGACCUCGCCUCUAAAUGGAAAACCAAACAGCCCGCUCUCAGAUCCUCGUUCCUUAGCAACACAGCCGCAUUCUGCAGGAAGCUACACUACCUGAGGUUGGCUGGAUUGUGUCAUUUAGUCCUCCCACCCAGGAUGGCCUCCUGCCCAGAGUGUUGUAGCAAAAAAUUAUUGGCAAAGAACAAGCCCACAUAUUUAAUUUGGAACAUACAGGACAAUUUAUUGAAGUCAAUCUCAAGCAAAAUCUGAAAUCAGUGGAAUGUCAUUAAAAACCUUUCCAAAUUAAUCCUCACGGAAGCAAAAAACACAUUGGAAUUCCAAAGUAUUUGUAAAAUAAAAAAGGCAACAUCUCAGUAAAUAUAAUGUACAAAAAUUAUAUGUUCCUACCAGCACACACAUCAGUAAAGAAGCUUAAAUAUUACAGGCAACCCUAAAUACACUAUAACUAGUCAACAAUAAGCUAUCUAUAUACAGGUUAACCAAGCUUUACACGUUUCACACUAUGCAAUAAAACAUAGGCCAAUCAACAAAAUCCUCAAAAUAUUAUAUAUCUUGAAGUCUAUGUGGCAACAUCAAGUCAUUAUACAGUAAUGCCCUAGUGGAACACCCCCAGGGAAAAUUAACACUAAUCCCUUAGUGUCAAGAGCUUCUAGCCAAGUCACAGAAACUCAAAAGAGAUUGACUUUAGUGAAUAUUGAUGCUUUGUUAUUAAAGACUCAAGUCUCAAGUGAUUUAGGCAAAGUAAUGGUUCACAGGAUCUACAAAGUUUAUUACAGAUAAAGUACAGAAAUAACCAAUCUACAAAGAUCAUUAUCAUAAAGAACACGAGAAAAUGAAAACGGAGUCUGUAGGUAUCUGUGUUUGUUGUGCAAUAUCACUCAAAUGGGUACAAAUGAGUUUCUCAUAUCAAUUCCAAAUAUACACAUACCCUUGUAUAUAAAAAAUGAUAUUAGCCAGUUGUAAUACUCAUUUAGCAUCUUGAUUAUUAGUGGCAAUAUAAUUAUCUUAACAUAGGGCAUGUAACAGGACAAAUGAGAUAAAAUAAUGACAACCAAGUAAGUUUUAUCCAGUCCAUUUCUAAACUGACAAGAAUACCUUAUUCAAUACCUUAUAUAGGUCAUCUGACAGAUACUUGAGGGCUGUUUGCACACAUCAAGUGUGUUGGCAGGCAGGGAGGGGAGCAGUAAAAGCUGAGGGUGCUUUCUCACUAACUAGCAGAUGCAGUAAUGCCACAUAAGAAAACUAAGGACUGAAUAAAUGACUUUGGCAUCUAUUCUAUUUUCCCUUUUUACUUACAUGUAAAUUACUUUUACAGCCUACUGAAGGACAGGCAAUUCUCAUCCCCCUCCCGCUUCAUACAUACGUGCCACAAGCACCCAAACUUGUCACUUAUGCAAUGGACUGACCAAAACAAAACAAAAAACAGAAAUGUUUUUUGAAAGACACGGAUUACCCACAUUUUGGGAGUGUAACGUAAGUGCAAUUUUUUGUUUUGUUUUUUUCCCUACAUAGACAUAGUAAAAGGAAAGAAGAUGUGCUUGGGGAGAGGGUUGACAAAAUGACAAAAUAAAGAAUGUACAUAAAAAGUAUUUGUAAAAAUGCUGGUAUCUCAUGCAGGAGUCUCUUCCUCAAAUGUGUUCAAUCAAUCUGAGCUAUCUACUGUGAACACUCUCCCAUUUGCAGAACUUCACCUUUAAUCCACGCUAAAGAGGAUAAGAGACUAGGCUAUUUAUUUUCAAAACAGUUUACAAAACAAUGCUUUCUACUUCAUAAAUGUAAAAAGAAACUAAAAUAAGGAGAAUCUGAAGAGUUUCAAGUACUUAAAAAACCUGAAUUCAAUGAGGCAGAGGUCUCAAUGUUAAAGUGACUAUUUCGUACCUGUGGUAAACAUUAUCCCCCCCCUUACCCUUUACCAGGAGAAAGGGGGUUCCCUUUCUCCUGGUACCCCACCCCAGGUAAAAGUUGGUGAGAUUUCAGUAUAUACACAUUUCCAACUUUUCAGUAUUUGUUAAUUCAUUGCAAAGCUGUCUAAUUAUAGUAUUCCCUAGUCCAUCUGAAAAUGGAAGCAAGUUCUACUUUUUGUUUUACAAAUAACCAGAGACCAAUUCUAGGUGGCCCUAGGCCAAAGGAAAGUGUUUCCAUUCAUCAAUUCAUGUCUGCACCAACUUGGACAACUGGGGGAGGCUGGAUGCAUCAGCCUUGUGAAAAGUAACUUUAGUCUACGCUGCCCAGAAAUAAAGCAACUUUCCAAUGUCCUUUUUCUCAUAUGGAAGUAUAGAAUGUCAGCUUCCCAGCUGUGAGGGCUCCAUAGCCACUGUUUUCUUAUCUUGUUAAGAGGACAUGGCAUGUGGCAGCCAACACCUUGACUUCAAGGUGAAUGCUAAAGGAAGAGCUUUGUAUUUAAAAUGAAAUGAAAGACAAGCAACAAGUCCUGGGCAGUCCAGAGAUUGUAUUCUCUACAGAUGGCCUGUUUGCAAACAGUAGGUCUGGGUUUGACCUAUUGGAAUACACCAUGCAAGAAACUACUCAAAAAGGAAAUUCCACUUCAUGAACCAGGAAAGUUGUCCAAUAGCCUGUCCCAUCUGAGGGUCCUUUACAUGAUUAGAUACUCAAUAUCUCAGUUCCACAACGUUAUUUACAGACAUGUUUUCAAAUAUUUUGUGUAAAUGGCAGAAGGGAGCUGGGAGCAGUCCCCCUGCCUCCAUUACUUUUUUAGCUUUCACAUAUGUUCUUGACUUGUACAGAAAAUCCCAAAUUUUAAAUGAUUCCCCAACUCAGCCAGUUCUAUAGAUGAGGCCAGAUCAUUUUUGAGAAUUAAGAUAAGAGUGGGAACUUGUUAAAACAAAAAUGAAAAUAAAACCCACCUCACUCCUGUAUCUCUCCCUGAUUAGACAUUAAAGAGGUGAAUCACUGCCUCUGGCUGCUUCAGCCUUCCAGGAAUGAAGAGCCAUCCACCUUGCCCUUCUCAGCCAGCCACAGGCAGCUCUUCUGAUUCUUCCCUCGCAGCAGUGGCGGUCCAGCCCCUCCCUCCCCUGCACAGUGCCUGAGAAAGUUUCCCAGGAUUUCAUCUUUAGCUCUUACUGAUCCAGUUUCUGAAGCUUUAGGCUGAUUAUCAAAAAUCUUAUGUUCACUUCUUCCUUCAACAAAUUAACAUGUGGUUAAAAAAAAUACCACCAUUAGCCCAUGCUGCUUUAAGUUAUUUCAUUGUUGGACAAGAAUAAAAACCAGCCACUUACACUCUGACCACAUAUAGAUUUAAAAGUUAACAAAUACCAACUUCAGACUAUGAGUGAGCAAUGUCUUUUGGAAUAUUUCAUUGGUGUAUCACAGGCACAGUGCAUGUAUACUCAUGCACACAUAAAGGACAAUUUUCUCUUUCUGCAUCUAUAAUCUGCAACUUAAAAAUAUAUCAAAUAGGUCAACAUUGACGCUAUGGAGGUGUGAGGAGAACUCCUUGGCACCAGCAUGACUAAAACCGCUUUUUAGACCAUUAAAGAACAUUCAUGGCCAAAGACUUCAGAACUAUGGUUACCUUUUUUUUUUGAGAUGGAGUCUCGCUCUGUCACCCAGGCUGGAGUGCAGUGAUGUGAUCUUGGCUCACUGCAACCUCUGCCUCCUGAGAAACUGGGACUACAGGUAUGUGCCACCAUGCCCGGCUCCUUUUUGUAUUUUUAGCAGAGACAGGGUUUCACCAUGUUGGUCAGGCUGGUCUCAAACUCCUGACCUCAUGAUCUGCCCACCUCGGCCUCCCAAAGUGCUGGGAUUACAGGUGUGAGCCACUGCACCUGGCAGCUAUUUUGUUUUCUACUCUGAUUUCUGAAAUGGUGAAACAAUCCUAUUAAUCAUAAUUUUUUUUUAAUUUCAGCAGAGCUCUGUUACAGAUAUGAAAACAAAAUGUGACACAAUGAAGAAGCUGCAUAAAAAUACUGAAACCUAAGGUAUCUGUAGUAUAUAGGAUGUACCCUGGCUUACCAUAGAAAAGUCUUUAGAUAGUAAAUAGCACUAAGUCUAAAAGCAAGGAGAUAAGAUUUCAUGUUGGAUACUGUUUCAAGAACUGUAUUUGGAAUAUUAAAGGAAAUCCUUAUGUUAGUAAGUUUAAAAAACCAAACAUCAUAUACAAAAUAAAAUUUUAGUAUGAUAAAA
Molecule: RNA transcript, 8542 nt
Organism: Homo sapiens (human)
Lineage: Eukaryota; Metazoa; Chordata; Mammalia; Primates; Hominidae
Gene: DDHD2
Gene name: DDHD domain containing 2
Exons: 19
Source: RefSeq, marked reviewed